RNAcentral lists this ribosomal RNA (1371 nucleotides) under Campylobacter jejuni. RNAcentral's name for it is "bacterial SSU rRNA". It matches the Rfam family "Bacterial small subunit ribosomal RNA". The record is from RNAcentral. Lineage: Bacteria; Pseudomonadati; Campylobacterota; Epsilonproteobacteria; Campylobacterales; Campylobacteraceae.
AGUCGAACGAUGAAGCUUCUAGCUUGCUAGAAGUGGAUUAGUGGCGCACGGGUGAGUAAGGUAUAGUUAAUCUGCCCUACACAAGAGGACAACAGUUGGAAACGACUGCUAAUACUCUAUACUCCUGCUUAACACAAGUUGAGUAGGGAAAGUUUUUCGGUGUAGGAUGAGACUAUAUAGUAUCAGCUAGUUGGUAAGGUAAUGGCUUACCAAGGCUAUGACGCUUAACUGGUCUGAGAGGAUGAUCAGUCACACUGGAACUGAGACACGGUCCAGACUCCUACGGGAGGCAGCAGUAGGGAAUAUUGCGCAAUGGGGGAAACCCUGACGCAGCAACGCCGCGUGGAGGAUGACACUUUUCGGAGCGUAAACUCCUUUUCUUAGGGAAGAAUUCUGACGGUACCUAAGGAAUAAGCACCGGCUAACUCCGUGCCAGCAGCCGCGGUAAUACGGAGGGUGCAAGCGUUACUCGGAAUCACUGGGCGUAAAGGGCGCGUAGGCGGAUUAUCAAGUCUCUUGUGAAAUCUAAUGGCUUAACCAUUAAACUGCUUGGGAAACUGAUAGUCUAGAGUGAGGGAGAGGCAGAUGGAAUUGGUGGUGUAGGGGUAAAAUCCGUAGAUAUCACCAAGAAUACCCAUUGCGAAGGCGAUCUGCUGGAACUCAACUGACGCUAAGGCGCGAAAGCGUGGGGAGCAAACAGGAUUAGAUACCCUGGUAGUCCACGCCCUAAACGAUGUACACUAGUUGUUGGGGUGCUAGUCAUCUCAGUAAUGCAGCUAACGCAUUAAGUGUACCGCCUGGGGAGUACGGUCGCAAGAUUAAAACUCAAAGGAAUAGACGGGGACCCGCACAAGCGGUGGAGCAUGUGGUUUAAUUCGAAGAUACGCGAAGAACCUUACCUGGGCUUGAUAUCCUAAGAACCUUUUAGAGAUAAGAGGGUGCUAGCUUGCUAGAACUUAGAGACAGGUGCUGCACGGCUGUCGUCAGCUCGUGUCGUGAGAUGUUGGGUUAAGUCCCGCAACGAGCGCAACCCACGUAUUUAGUUGCUAACGGUUCGGCCGAGCACUCUAAAUAGACUGCCUUCGUAAGGAGGAGGAAGGUGUGGACGACGUCAAGUCAUCAUGGCCCUUAUGCCCAGGGCGACACACGUGCUACAAUGGCAUAUACAAUGAGACGCAAUACCGCGAGGUGGAGCAAAUCUAUAAAAUAUGUCCCAGUUCGGAUUGUUCUCUGCAACUCGAGAGCAUGAAGCCGGAAUCGCUAGUAAUCGUAGAUCAGCCAUGCUACGGUGAAUACGUUCCCGGGUCUUGUACUCACCGCCCGUCACACCAUGGGAGUUGAUUUCACUCGAAGCCGGAAUACUAAACUAGU